AGCGGCGGACGGGUGAGUAACGCGUGGGAAUAUGCCCUUCUCUAAGGAAUAGCCUCGGGAAACUGAGAGUAAUACCUUAUACGCCCUUCGGGGGAAAGAUUUAUCGGAGAAGGAUUAGCCCGCGUUAGAUUAGGUAGUUGGUGGGGUAAUGGCCUACCAAGCCUACGAUCUAUAGCUGGUUUGAGAGGAUGAUCAGCCACACUGGGACUGAGACACGGCCCAGACUCCUACGGGAGGCAGCAGUAGGGAAUCUUAGACAAUGGGGGAAACCCUGAUCUAGCCAUGCCGCGUGUGUGAUGAAGGCCUUAGGGUCGUAAAGCACUUUCGCCAGAGAUGAUAAUGACAGUAUCUGGUAAAGAAACCCCGGCUAACUCCGUGCCAGCAGCCGCGGUAAUACGGAGGGGGUUAGCGUUGUUCGGAAUUACUGGGCGUAAAGCGUACGUAGGCGGAUUAGUAAGUUAGAGGUGAAAUCCCAGGGCUCAACCCUGGAACUGCCUUUAAUACUGCUAGUCUUGAGUUCGAGAGAGGUAAGUGGAAUUCCGAGUGUAGAGGUGAAAUUCGUAGAUAUUCGGAGGAACACCAGUGGCGAAUGCGGCUUACUGGCUCGAUACUGACGCUGAGGUACGAAAGUGUGGGGAGCAAACAGGAUUAGAUACCCUGGUAGUCCACACCGA
This 674-nucleotide ribosomal RNA is filed under the name uncultured bacterium. RNAcentral's name for it is "bacterial SSU rRNA". It matches the Rfam family "Bacterial small subunit ribosomal RNA", at positions 94 to 803 of the family's 1533-position model. The record is from RNAcentral.